RNAcentral lists this long non-coding RNA (218 nucleotides) under Zostera marina. RNAcentral's name for it is "long non-coding RNA (ZMAR_LNC005971)". Lineage: Eukaryota; Viridiplantae; Streptophyta; Magnoliopsida; Alismatales; Zosteraceae. The record is from RNAcentral.
CCUUUUUUGUCCUUUUGCGUGGUCCUUGGGUCUAUAAAUAGAGCCCUUAGGUCCUCCUUCUUCUUCAUCCAUGACUCUUCUUGUGAGUCUUUUUGCUGAUUUUAUUCAGGGAGAGAUUGAGGAGCUGGAUCGAAUUUUGAAUAUUUUGGAUUCUCGGUCGUCGGCCUUGGAUCUUCCUUCUCUGCGCCAAAUUAUUGUUGAGCGGCAGAGUGUUGCUG